AGGGUCACAAGGGAGAUGUCCGCCCCCAGUCGUAGCCUCGGACGGUUUCUGAGCGUUGGUGUUUGGCACGCGCCACCCUCUCUUGCUUUGGUUCCGCCAUGCCGAUGUACCAGGUAAAACCUUAUCACGGGCGCGGCGCGCCUCUCCGUGUGGAGCUUCCCACCUGCAUGUACCGGCUCUCUAACGUGCAAGGCAGGAGCGGCGGCCCAGCGCCCGGCGUUGGCCACCUACAGUCUUUGGUAGAUGAGUGGCUGGAUAGCUACAAGCAAGACCAGGAUGCAGGAUUUCUGGAGCUUGUUAACUUUUUCAUCUGAUCUUGUGGAUGUAAAGGACUCGGGGGACUAUCCUCUGACAGCUCCAGGUCUAUCCUGGAAGAAGUUCCAGGGCAGCUUCUGUGAGUUUGUGGGGACAUUGGUCUGUCGGUGCCAGUACAUCCUCCUCCAUGAUGACUUCCCUAUGGACAACCUCAUCUCCCUGCUCACUGGCUUCUCAGACUCACAAGUCUGCGCCUUCUGUCACACUAGCACCCUGGCUGCUAUGAAACUGAUGACCUCCCUGGUAAGAGUUGCCCUCCAACUGAGUCUGCACGAAGAUAUCAAUCAGCGUCAGUAUGAGGCUGAAAGAAACAAGGGGCCAGGGCAGAGGGCACCUGAGCGGCUGGAGAGCCUGUUGGAGAAACACAAAGAGCUGCAUUAAUACUACAUUGUCAAAGACAAAGACGAACAUGAGACAUGCGAUAUGAGUUUUAAAAGGAGAGAAGAGCAAAAAAACAAUACAGCUAUCCAAGGAGCAAGUGCUGAGCUUGUGAAAAAACAGCUUCUAUUUUAUUAAAUAAUAGUGUUCCUGCAGGGAUGUCUGAAGUACUCUGCAAGGCUAAUUAGGACAGAUCAAUGUACACUUACCUCUCCAGAAGGCUGAAAGAUACAGACUGAAAUGUUACCAGAUAAAAUGAUGUCAUGUCUGGGAUUCGCUUCAAAAUAAUUUGAGGUGGAAGUGGAAAGUGGAAACAACAAUUAUGAAACAACCUGGCCCAUGAGAUGAUAGCUGUGGAAGGUAGGUAUGGUUAUACAAAAUUUCAUUACACUUUUCCCUCUACUUUUCUAAUAUAUUCUGAAUUUUCAUAACAAAAAGUUAAAUACACUUAAAAGUAGACAAAUACUAAUUUGAGGUGGUGGUUAAGGACUCAGAAGUUACAGUCCAUGUGUCUGAAUGAAAGUACUUUCUCAAACAUGCAGAUAUCAGAGAUUUGUAGGAUUCCUUCAAUGGAGACCCAUGUUUUCUCCACACAGAACACUGGUUUCUGAGCAAAAGUAGGCCCUCUUUCUGAAAACAGAUCUGACAAUAUGAAAGUGGUUGGCUACUUAACUGAAGAUACCAAAAGGAAAAAAAAAAAGGACACCAAAAAACUGGGUCUACAAAUGUGGUUGUUGGUUCUCCUUGUUUUUUUUUUCAAAUAAGGCUCGGUUUAGGAGCAGUCUAAUAGAGCAUGUGACUGCUAUACUUCCAACAGUAUCUUUGCAAAUAAAUACAACCCAUACAAUUUAAUUGUC
Homo sapiens (human) is the source of this 1550-nucleotide long non-coding RNA. Ensembl annotates it as STAG3 cohesin complex component like 4 (pseudogene). Its record names the gene STAG3L4. Lineage: Eukaryota; Metazoa; Chordata; Mammalia; Primates; Hominidae. The record is from Ensembl.